AGUGAACGCUGGCGGUAGGCCUAACACAUGCAAGUCGAACGGCAGCACAGUAAGAGCUUGCUCUUACGGGUGGCGAGUGGCGGACGGGUGAGGAAUACAUCGGAAUCUACUUUUUCGUGGGGGAUAACGUAGGGAAACUUACGCUAAUACCGCAUACGACCUACGGGUGAAAGCAGGGGAUCUUCGGACCUUGCGCGAUUGAAUGAGCCGAUGUCGGAUUAGCUAGUUGGCGGGGUAAAGGCCCACCAAGGCGACGAUCCGUAGCUGGCCUGAGAGGAUGAUCAGCCACACUGGAACUGAGACACGGUCCAGACUCCUACGGGAGGCAGCAGUGGGGAAUAUUGGACAAUGGGCGCAAGCCUGAUCCAGCCAUACCGCGUGGGUGAAGAAGGCCUUCGGGUUGUAAAGCCCUUUUGUUGGGAAAGAAAAGCAGCAGGUUAAUACCCCGCUGUUCUGACGGUACCCAAAGAAUAAGCACCGGCUAACUUCGU
Molecule: ribosomal RNA, 491 nt
Filed under: uncultured bacterium
Lineage: Bacteria
Description: partial 16S ribosomal RNA
Rfam family: Bacterial small subunit ribosomal RNA
Source: RNAcentral